GACGAACGCUGGCGGCGUGCUUAACACAUGCAAGUCGAACGCUGAAGCUCAGCUUGCUGGGUGGAUGAGUGGCGAACGGGUGAGUAACACGUGAGUAACCUGCCCCCUUCUUUGGGAUAACGCCCGGAAACGGGUGCUAAUACUGGAUAUUCACUGAUCUUCGCAUGGGGGUUGGUGGAAAGGUUUUUUCUGGUGGGGGAUGGGCUCGCGGCCUAUCAGCUUGUUGGUGGGGUGAUGGCCUACCAAGGCUUUGACGGGUAGCCGGCCUGAGAGGGUGACCGGUCACAUUGGGACGGAGAUACGGCCCAGACUCCUACGGGAGGCAGCAGUGGGGAAUAUUGCACAAUGGGCGAAAGCCUGAUGCAGCGACGCCGCGUGAGGGAUGGAGGCCUUCGGGUUGUAAACCUCUUUCGCUCAUGGUCAAGCCGCAACAUUGGUUGUGGUGAGGGUAGUGGGUAAAGAAGCGCCGGCUAACUACGU
RNAcentral lists this ribosomal RNA (480 nucleotides) under uncultured bacterium. RNAcentral's name for it is "partial 16S ribosomal RNA". It matches the Rfam family "Bacterial small subunit ribosomal RNA", at positions 28 to 506 of the family's 1533-position model. The record is from RNAcentral.